RNAcentral lists this transfer RNA (72 nucleotides) under Acanthocystis turfacea Chlorella virus NTS-1. RNAcentral describes it as "tRNA-Gly". It matches the Rfam family "tRNA". From Rfam's summary of the family: Transfer RNA (tRNA) molecules are approximately 80 nucleotides in length. Their secondary structure includes four short double-helical elements and three loops (D, anti-codon, and T loops). RNAcentral also lists the same sequence under 1 other name. Lineage: Varidnaviria; Bamfordvirae; Nucleocytoviricota; Megaviricetes; Algavirales; Phycodnaviridae. The record is from RNAcentral.
GGACUCGUGAUGUAGUGGUCAACAUAGCACUCUUCCAAAGUGCAUUCCCGGGUUCGAUCCCCGGCGGGUUCA